This 1125-nucleotide ribosomal RNA is filed under the name Nycteribia pleuralis. RNAcentral describes it as "partial 16S ribosomal RNA". Lineage: Eukaryota; Metazoa; Arthropoda; Insecta; Diptera; Nycteribiidae. The record is from RNAcentral.
UUUAAAUUUAUUUAUUUAUUUAAAUUAAAUAUAUAUGUAUAUAUAUAUAUUAAAAAUAGUUAUAAAAUUAAAUUUUUUAGUAUUAAUUAAAGAAAAAAUAUUAUUAAUUAUAGUUUAUUAGUAUUGAUAAAGAAAAUUGAAAUAAUUAUGAAAAAUUUUAAUUUAAUAAGAAAAAUUAAUUUUUUGUACCUUGUGUAUCAGGGUUUAUUAAAUAAAAUUUAAUUAAGAUAAAUUUCUCGAUUUUAAAAGAUUUAAUAUAUUAUGGAAUAUAAAGUAAUAAAUUUAUUUUUAAUAAUAUAUUUGAAAUGAAAUGUUAUUCGUUUUUAAAGGUAUCUAGUUUAUUAAGAAAUAAAUUUAAUUUAUAAAUUUUAUAUUAUUUAUUUUAUUUUUAAAAUAAAUAAAUAUUUAAUUUAAAUAUUUUAUGGGAUAAGCUAUAAAAUAAAUUUUUAAAAAUAUUAAUGUUAAUUAUGUAAAAUAUAGGGUUAAAAUUAUUCAUUAUUUAAAAAAAUGUAAUAAUUUAUUAUAUAAUAAAAAAAAUUUAUUAAAUUUUAAUUAUUUAUUAAUAUAUAUUUUAAAAUUUAAAAAAAUUAAUAAUAAUGAUAAAAUUAGUAUAAAUUUUUGUAAGAAUAUAUUUAUUUUAUAAUUUUUUUUAAAGAAUUCGGCAAAUUAAUAUAUUCACCUGUUUAACAAAAACAUCUCUUUAUGAUUAAAUAUAAGGUUUAACCUGCCCACUGAAUUUUUAAAUGGCUGCAGUAUAUUGACUGUACAAAGGUAGCAUAAUCAUUAGUUUUUUAAUUGAAAACUGGAAUGAAUGGUUGGAUGAAAUAUAAACUGUUUCAAUUAAAUUAAAUUAAAAUUUUAUUUUUUAGUAAAAAAGCUAAAAUAAUUUUAAAAGACGAGAAGACCCUAUAAAUCUUUAUAUAAAUUAUAAAUAUUAAAUUAUUUAGAAGAUUAUAAAAUAUUUAUUUUUUAUAUUUUAUUGGGGAGAUAAUAAAAUUUAAAAAACUUUUAUUAAAAAAAUUCAUUGAUUUAUGAAUUUUUGAUUAAUUAUUAAUGAAUGAUAAAAUAAGUUACUUUAGGGAUAACAGCGUAAUUAUUUUGGAGAGUUCAUAUUGAUAAAAUAGA